GGCGGACCCAGUAAGUCAGAUAAGAACACUCAACUUUCUUUGGCCUAAACCCACAAUUACACAAAAUACACACACUGUAUACACAAUUGGUUAGGUUCCCAGAAAGCAGGAGUGGAAACAUCUGGAACAUGUUGUUGUUCUUAGCCAUAGAAGGGCAUGAGGAAGGAGAGGAGAAUUCUUCUGGAAUUCUUCUGACGUCAUAAUGACUAUAAAAGCUUUCUGUCUUUGUGCAGACGAAGAAGAAGUCCGGCUCUUCCCACACUGUAUGGCACUGUGUGUUUUUUAAUAAAAUACUUUAUUGACUCACUAUGGACUUUUUCAGUCGUGUGUCUCUUCCUCAAAUUCGAACCAUGACAAAGAAGAAGCACGGGAGCCGGAACCCGGUUCUGGCCCGGGGCAUCGGUCGCUACUGCUGGUCUGCUCGCAGGGCUAUAUAUAAGAAAAAGACCAAGACCACUGAGACCAAGAGGCAGACCUGUGGUGCCAUACAAUUUUUUUAAUAUUGAUCAAAGACAUGCCACUUUUUCUUUGUCACUUUUUUAGAUGAUAAUUUUUUUUGCUCCAGGUGGAGGAUAAGAGUAAGGCUAGACCUAAGGCAAGUCAUCAAGACUGUUGGAGGAGACAGCAGCUCAGCAGUGGACAUGAUGGUGAUCUGGAAGAUGACAAAACAAAGCAGGUCAAUGGGUCAACCAUUACAGCGAAGACUAAUGGGUAACAGCACCAGAAACGUCAGAAUCCUUCAGGUGGCUUAGUUGGUGGCUUGCAGCGAUUGACAGGUGGCCUGCUGGAGCGUGGAUUCAUUGGUGGCUGGCAGCAAUUGAGAUGGAGACCCUUGGGAUAUCCUUGGCAGGUGGAAUCCACUCCGGCGUUGUGGCAGGCAGUGGCAUGGAGACCAUGGCAGAAAGCGCCUGGACAACAGCGCCGUAAAAUAAAAAGGCUCUGAAUUUGGACACCCCGCUGUUUACGGAUGGACAAUAAUAACGGUGGGUCUAGGGGUCAACCAUUACAGCGAAGACCCAUGGACGACAGGACCAGAGGUCAACGACGGGGCGAAGGCGGGACCUUUCAAGUGGCUUGGAUUGUGGCAAUUAGCAGGCGGCCAGCGGUGGCGUGGCUUGGCAGGUGGUCUGCUGCAGUGUGGAUUAGCUGGUGGCUGGCACCCUUUGGAGGAUUGGCAGGUGGACUCCACGGUGGUGUCCGCGGCAGGUGGCGGCGUGGAAUCCGGGGCAGGUGUCGUGGAGUCCGUGGCAGGCAGCGGAGAGGGACCAACUGAUUUGGAGUGGAGUCCACUGCAGGUGACUCUGACAAGUUAGGAAAAUAUAACAUUUGAAUACAGAGUCAGAAAAUAAUAGGGCUUUGGAGUUGACGUCACGCCGCAAUGCAUUAUGGGAGCGCAGCGCCAUUUUCGGGGUCUACGAAUCAAAAAAACACACUGUGUUGGAACGAAGACUACAAGAAAGAUGCUUAAAAGCAGCUCAAAAGAGAAUGAACUGUAUAGAGACCGAUUGCGUCCAGAGGCGAAGCAGCGGUACUUACAGAAAAUAGCGUGCAUUGGAAAUGUGGACCCGUAUGAAAUACGGCCGUGGAGUAGAAACCCUGAAGACCAACCGCUACUGAUGUAGCCUGACAUAUUUUCGUACCUUGUCUGUGGAGUCAGAGCGUACAAGUCGUCAUUCAAACAAAGGUACUGCACUCUCAAAGACUGAAUGAACCAGCAUUGCAGCCAUGGGUCACUGUGAGCAUCACAGGGAAGGUUGAAGCAGCCCACUGCAGCUGUAUGGCCGGAGUCGCAGAGACCUGCAGCCAUGUCGCUGCUCUUCUGUUUAAUGUAGAAGCAACAGUGUUGAUCCGUGGCACAAGGACUGUUACAGAUGAACCUGCAAACUGGGUUUUGCUGGGUAAUGUGACCAAGAUACAGCCAGAGAUUGGCCAUAAGAUAGACUUCUCCUCUUCAGCUGCCUAAAAAAAGGCUCUUGAUCAAAACAUAAACAGACCAUCCGUAGUGACAGGUAAAAGAAGCCGUCCUCAAAAAAGGAAAAUUCCACCUGCUACUGUGGAGGAGUCUAGAUGUAUGCCUGUAGUGCACUGCCGUGUAAAUAAUUUGCAUUUACUGAAUAUGUACUGACUGAGUACCACUGUUCAAAAGUUGAAUAAAGAAACAAACUAAUUUUUGCCUCUUUUUUAUUUUUUUUAUUAAAACCACCUUAUAGAGCAUCACAUCAGUAACAGUGUAGAAUCCAUGUCAUUUAUAGUUUACAAAUGACAAAAUGUUUACACAAAAUCAUGAGUGUUUACAUGAUAUCACCCACUACUAACAUUACUUUAUUUACUGUAUCUUUUGAAAAAAUACAGCAAUUUUAACAGCACAAUACUUAAGAAUAUUUAACAGGAGCAGGUUUCAUUUUCCCUGGUUUUAUUAUCACACUGUUCACCAAACGCAGCAAACCUUCACCAUCUUAUCCAGGAGGGUCACCUCUUCACCCUCACAUGGAAGAAGUAAUCUGAUUGGCAUGGUGGUAUGUUUGAAGCAGGUCCCUUGUGUAGUGCUGGAACCCAGUCACGAUGUUUCAUCCAUUUCAUUGGCUGGUUUGCUGCAAUAAUGCCAAAUAAUUAGCAACUCUAUAAAUAGAAGGUAGUCCUGCAAAAUCACUCAGUAGG
This is a long non-coding RNA of Astatotilapia calliptera (eastern happy), 2658 nucleotides long. NCBI's taxonomy places the organism in Eukaryota, Metazoa, Chordata, Actinopteri, Cichliformes, Cichlidae. The record is from Ensembl.